RNAcentral lists this ribosomal RNA (497 nucleotides) under uncultured bacterium. Its description in RNAcentral is "partial 16S ribosomal RNA". It matches the Rfam family "Bacterial small subunit ribosomal RNA", at positions 28 to 507 of the family's 1533-position model. The record is from RNAcentral.
GACGAACGCUGGCGGCGUGCCUAAUACAUGCAAGUUGAGCGCUGAAGGUUGGUACUUGUACCGACUGGAUGAGCAGCGAACGGGUGAGUAACGCGUGGGGAAUCUGCCUUUGAGCGGGGGACAACAUUUGGAAACGAAUGCUAAUACCGCAUAAAAACUUUAAACACAAGUUUUAAGUUUGAAAGAUGCAAUUGCAUCACUCAAAGAUGAUCCCGCGUUGUAUUAGCUAGUUGGUGAGGUAAAGGCUCACCAAGGCGAUGAUACAUAGCCGACCUGAGAGGGUGGUCGGCCGCCCUGGGACGGGGACACGGCCCAAACGCCCACGGGAGGCAGCCGGAGGGAAUCGUCGGGCAUGGACGAAAGGCUGACCGAGCAACGCCGCGGGAGGGAAGAAGGGUUUCGGGUCGUAAAACUCUGUUUGUAGAGAAGAAAGUUGGUGAGGGUGGAAAGCUCAUAAAGUGACGGUAACUACACAGAAAGGGACGGCUAACUACGUG